RNAcentral lists this long non-coding RNA (638 nucleotides) under Bos taurus (domestic cattle). Its description in RNAcentral is "long non-coding RNA NONBTAT007271". Lineage: Eukaryota; Metazoa; Chordata; Mammalia; Artiodactyla; Bovidae. The record is from RNAcentral.
UUAAAGUCCUGACUGCAGAUUUAGUUGCAAGACACAGAAAAGCAGCAAGUAUUGUUCUGCCUUCUGAUGCCUAACAUGAUCUAAUCCCAAUCUCAGAUUUACCCGCAGCAUCAGGUGACGUUCUCUGCAUGGUUCAGUGUCAGUGGCUACAGCCUGUACAGUAAGGCAAGCAUGACCAGCUUGGGGUGCCAGGGCUUGCAUAGAUUGCACCCCUUACUAUACUAAAGCAGUUACCCCCACCCCUGCCUUGGGCUAGCAUUUUCUGAAGGCUAAGUUUGGUAGAAAUUAUCCCAGCUGCAUUUAAAUGCUAUAACCCAUCAAGCUCAAAAUUCUAUGCAGUUCUUGGUUAUUAAAAAUUUUAGGUCAACCUCCUUAUUCUCCAUGUAUAGUUCCUUCAGUAAGAGAACAAAUAUAAAACCAAAAAUUCAGCUACAUGACCCAGUAUAAGUUUCCAGAAACCAUCGAGGUUGAAAAGCAAGCAAGCAAACAGAACCCCCACAUAGUCCUUGCUGAUUACAGCAUCAUCGAAGCAUGAAGCCACCCAGUCCAGGCCCCUCCAUAAGUCUCAAUACUUUUGGGUUCUUUUCUCUCCAAAAUUACUUCUUAUAUAUUUCUCAGGGUUCCUAACCAACUUGGUC